UACGGAGGGUGCGAGCGUUCUUAGGAAUUAUUGGGCGUAAAGGGCGCGCAGGCGGUUGAAAAAGGCAGGUGUGAAAGCCCUUGGCUUAACCAAGGAAGUGCAUUUGAUACUAUUUGACUUGAGUAUGGGAUAGGGAAGUGGAAUUGCUGGUGUAGAGGUGAAAUUCGUAGAUAUCAGGAGGAACACCGGUGGCGAAAGCGACUUCCUGGACCAAUACUGACGCUGAGGCGCGAAGGCGUGGGUAGCAAACAGG
This 253-nucleotide ribosomal RNA is filed under the name uncultured bacterium. RNAcentral describes it as "partial 16S ribosomal RNA". It matches the Rfam family "Bacterial small subunit ribosomal RNA", at positions 524 to 776 of the family's 1533-position model. The record is from RNAcentral.